AUACAGAGGGCCCGAGCGUUAAUCGGAAUCACUGGGCUUAAAGAGUUCGUAGGCGGUCUUGUAAGUAUCUUGUGAAAUCCCACGGCUCAACCGUGGUAUUGCUUGGUAAACUGCAAGACUUGAGUAUGGUAGAGGCUGUCGGAACUCUAGGUGGAGCGGUGAAAUGCGUAGAUAUCUAGAGGAACACCAAAGGCGAAGGCAGGCAGCUGGGCCAUUACUGACGCUGAGGAACGAAAGCGUGGGUAGCGAACGGGAUUAGAAACCCUAGUAGUCC
This 274-nucleotide ribosomal RNA is filed under the name uncultured bacterium. RNAcentral's name for it is "partial 16S ribosomal RNA". It matches the Rfam family "Bacterial small subunit ribosomal RNA", at positions 523 to 796 of the family's 1533-position model. The record is from RNAcentral.